GGGGGCAGCUAGGUCCUGGUGGGUCUCCUGGACUUCAAAUCCAGUGGCGGGCGGCGUUCCCGUCCGCGGUGGGUUCGAUUCCCACAUGCUCCCGCCA
Molecule: transfer RNA, 97 nt
Filed under: Bacillota bacterium
Lineage: Bacteria; Bacillati; Bacillota
Description: tRNA-Sec
Rfam family: Selenocysteine transfer RNA
Source: RNAcentral